CACUUUGUCUUUAUGGCAAAUGUGAGAUGCAGUGUAUGGAAUGUCAAAUUUCUAGUAUGAGAAAUUAACGAUUUAAGUCCUUCUUAAAUGAGGCCAUUUACCCAUAGAGGGUGCCAGGCCCGUAUAACGUUAAUGAUUACUAGAUGGCAUUUCCAAAGAGUCGUGUUGCUUGAUAGUGCAGCACUAAGUUGGUGGUAAACUCCAUCUAAAACUAAAUAUAACCAUGAGACCGAUAGUAAACAAGUACCGUGAGGGAAAGUUGAAAAGAACUCUGAAUAGAGAGUUAAAUAGUACGUGAAACUGCUUAGAGGUUAAGCCCGAUGAACCUGAAUAUCCAUUAUAGAAAAUUCAUCAUUAUGACUUAAAUACUUAUUAGUAUUUUAAUAAUAGUGUGCAUUUUUUCUAUAGAGGACAUUGUAAUCUAUUAACAUAAAAUAAAUUUAUCAUAAGAUCAAUGGCUUAAGUUUACUCAAAUUAUUUUGCUUUCAAUUUAACAUAGAAUAAAUGCUAUUGAUUUGAUAAAGUGUUGAUAGAUUUAUAAUAUACAGUGCUUGAAUAUUUGAUAUUGUAUAAUAGCAUAUUAAUUAUUAAUUUUUAUGUUUAUUUUAUGCACUUGUAUGAUUAACAAUGCGAAAGAUUCAGGAUACCUUCGGGACCCGUCUUGAAACACGGACCAAGGAGUCUAACAUAUUUGCAAGUUAUUGGGAGUAAAAACCUAAUAGCGAAAUUAACAUAACUUAAAAUUAAUUGGGAUUAGUUUUUAGCCUAUUUAUAGUCUAUUAAUUCAAUCCCGGGGCGUUCUAUACAGUUAUGUAUAAUAAUAUUUAUAUUAUUUAUACCUCUAACUAGAGCGUACCUUGAGCAUAUAUGCUGUGACCCGAAAGAUGGUGAACUAUACUUGAUCAGGUUGAAGUCAGGGGAAACCCUGAUGGAAGACCGAAACAGUUCUGACGUGCAAAUCGAUUGUCAGAAUUGCA
Molecule: ribosomal RNA, 977 nt
Filed under: Lespesia cuculliae
Lineage: Eukaryota; Metazoa; Arthropoda; Insecta; Diptera; Tachinidae
Description: eukaryotic LSU rRNA
Rfam family: Eukaryotic large subunit ribosomal RNA
Source: RNAcentral